UCCCCGGUGGUCCAGUGGUUAAGACUGUGCACUCCCAAUGCAGGGGGCCUGGGUUCAAUCCCUGGUCAGGGAA
Molecule: transfer RNA, 73 nt
Filed under: Ovis aries (sheep)
Lineage: Eukaryota; Metazoa; Chordata; Mammalia; Artiodactyla; Bovidae
Rfam family: tRNA
About the family: Transfer RNA (tRNA) molecules are approximately 80 nucleotides in length. Their secondary structure includes four short double-helical elements and three loops (D, anti-codon, and T loops). Further hydrogen bonds mediate the characteristic L-shaped molecular structure. tRNAs have two regions of fundamental functional importance: the anti-codon, which is responsible for specific mRNA codon recognition, and the 3' end, to which the tRNAs corresponding amino acid is attached (by aminoacyl-tRNA synthetases). tRNAs cope with the degeneracy of the genetic code in two manners: having more than one tRNA (with a specific anti-codon) for a particular amino acid; and 'wobble' base-pairing, i.e. permitting non-standard base-pairing at the 3rd anti-codon position.
Source: Rfam by way of RNAcentral